AUGCGCCUUUGGAAGAGCAGGAGGCUCAUUCCACGGGAUCCCCUGAAAGCACAAAAGCAAAUGAUGGGCCGAACGAGGCAGGCCUGCCUUCUUCGCGGAAGCGUAAAAGGUGGGAUGAUGAUUCGGGGGUCCGAAGAUGAUGAUUCAGGGGGCCCCGGGGAAUCUCCAGAUCCAGUGGAAAUCGUUUACGAAGGGGAUGCACAAGGGUACAUCUAG
Molecule: ribosomal RNA, 216 nt
Filed under: Triticum aestivum (bread wheat)
Lineage: Eukaryota; Viridiplantae; Streptophyta; Magnoliopsida; Poales; Poaceae
Description: partial small subunit ribosomal RNA
Source: RNAcentral